RNAcentral lists this ribosomal RNA (492 nucleotides) under Streptomyces sp. gbb3. RNAcentral describes it as "bacterial SSU rRNA". It matches the Rfam family "Bacterial small subunit ribosomal RNA", at positions 171 to 677 of the family's 1533-position model. Lineage: Bacteria; Bacillati; Actinomycetota; Actinomycetes; Kitasatosporales; Streptomycetaceae. The record is from RNAcentral.
GGCGUUUUACUCUGUCCGCAUGGGACGGGGUUGAAAGCUCCGGCGGUGAAGGAUGAGCCCGCGGCCUAUCAGCUUGUUGGUGGGGUAAUGGCCUACCAAGGCGACGACGGGUAGCCGGCCUGAGAGGGCGACCGGCCACACUGGGACUGAGACACGGCCCAGACUCCUACGGGAGGCAGCAGUGGGGAAUAUUGCACAAUGGGCGAAAGCCUGAUGCAGCGACGCCGCGUGAGGGAUGACGGCCUUCGGGUUGUAAACCUCUUUCAGCAGGGAAGAAGCGAAAGUGACGGUACCUGCAGAAGAAGCGCCGGCUAACUACGUGCCAGCAGCCGCGGUAAUACGUAGGGCGCAAGCGUUGUCCGGAAUUAUUGGGCGUAAAGAGCUCGUAGGCGGCUUGUCACGUCGGAUGUGAAAGCCCGGGGCUUAACCCCGGGUCUGCAUUCGAUACGGGCUAGCUAGAGUGUGGUAGGGGAGAUCGGAAUUUCCUGGUGA